GUUUCCACUUUUGCAUCUU
Molecule: small nuclear RNA, 19 nt
Filed under: Arabidopsis thaliana (thale cress)
Lineage: Eukaryota; Viridiplantae; Streptophyta; Magnoliopsida; Brassicales; Brassicaceae
Description: snRNA_04157
Source: RNAcentral